Molecule: RNA transcript, 3782 nt
Organism: Clarias gariepinus (North African catfish)
Lineage: Eukaryota; Metazoa; Chordata; Actinopteri; Siluriformes; Clariidae
Gene: trim13
Gene name: tripartite motif containing 13
Exons: 2
Source: RefSeq, a predicted model, not a curated record
AUGUUUUUGCAUAGCAACAGCCCCUAGCCCCUUACCCCCGACCACACUGGAGGGUGGAGGGGGGGAUUACGUGUUCACUGGAAUAAAAGGUAAAGCCACUGCGCGUUAUUAUUAUAACAUUAACCAGAAGGAUUCGCAAUUAAACGUCUGUAGUUGUCUGUGUAUUUCUUUAUUUGGUGAUUGCAUGUGUAAACACUGUGGGUCUUAGUGUCCUGAGCUGAAACGGUUAAAGUUUGCUCAGUUGGAAAAAGUGAAGUCUGCACAGCAACAAGCGCCACGAUUGCAUCGCGGGCUGCAGUAAAAGCAACUGAGCUCCGAGUACGCGCGUGUGUAUGUGUGUGUUUUGGUCCAGUUGCUGACGUUUUCGUACAUAACGGUCAUCAGUUGCUACCUUAUCGGCAGGAUUUCUCUCUCUCUCUCUCUCUGAAUACGCUGUCUAUUUGCGCACUAUAGCUCGAUAUACACUGGCUCAGGAAAGAACUAUGGAUAAAUCAUGCACUCGACGUGAAACUUACUCAGCUGUUUCAUAGCUAAGUUCCUCACUAUUACAGUCAUACAUUUUUGCAUGAAGUAGCAAUUUUAGAGAGACAAUCUAAUAAUUUGUGGCAUUGAUGUUUUUAUUGACUUGGGUUUUAAAAAAAUAUAUAAUAAUAAUAAUAAUAAUAGGCUGGGAUUUGCCAUAGGUUAAUUCCAAAGCAGUUAGGAUUCAGCCUCAUUAUGAGAUACACGAGUAAGAUGCAUGUUAGUCACUAAUAAGUGGCAUCGAUUUGAUCAGUUUUUUCACUCGCUGACCCGCUUUCAUGUUCCAUUCCAGCCCGAGAUGGAUCUGCUGGAGGAGGACCUGACAUGCCCAAUAUGCUGCUGUCUCUUCGAGGACCCACGUGUGCUGCCAUGUUCACACAGUUUCUGCAGGAAGUGCCUGGAAGGCAUCCUAGAGGACAACCGGACCCCUGUGUGGAGACCCCCGUUUAAAUGUCCGACAUGCCGAAAGGAGACCACGCACAACGGCAUCUCGAGCCUCCAGGUUAACUAUUCCCUGCGCAGCAUCGUGGAGAAGUACAACAAGAUCCGCUCGAGCCCAACAAUGUCUCAGUGUCGCGCGCACAGCGGCCAGCCCCUGAACAUCUUCUGUGCCACAGACCUGAAGCUCAUCUGUGGGUUUUGCGCCACUACAGGUGAGCACAAAGGGCACAAAUUCUGCGCGCUAGAGGAGGCGUACGAACGAGAGAAGGUCGCCUUCGAGGAGCUGCUCCGUGCCGUGGAGAGCUGGAAAGGCGCUGAGGUGAUCUCCUGCCUAGAAUCGCUCGAGGGGGCGAAGAAAAAAGCGCUGCAGAUGGCCUCGCGAGACGUGGACCGGGUCGCGGAGUACUUUGACAAGCUGCUCCGCGCGCUUGAACACAAGCGCAGCGAGAUCCUCUCGGACUUUGAAAGCCUGAAGCUGGCGGUCAUGCAAACCUUUGACCCGGAAAUCAACCAGCUCCGCUCGGCACUCGAGGAACAGCAGCGCGCGCUGCGCCUUGCCGAGUCGUUCAGCACGCUCUCUGACCCGCUCACCUUCUUGCAGCGCAUGCAGGACUUUCGCGAGAAGGUGCGCGCCAUUCGUGAGACGCCUCUGCCCGGGCGCACGGAUGUUGACGUUGGGGCGCUUGUGCCCAGCUUCGACGUGCACGAGUGGGACCGUGUGCGCCUGGGAGACGUGGACGCGCUGCGCGCUCCGCACGAGGGCGGCGCUCUCCGAUCACCGUCUAGUCGCAUCGCCCCCCCGCGUCUCUCCCGGAGUCUGUGGAGUUUCGUCGGUUUGGCGUGCGCGUGCCUGUGCGUGCUGAACUUUCUUCCGCCAGACUGUUUUGCCGUGAGUCUGUCCGCUAAAGCGGUAUCCGCUCUGGCUGGCUUCUCCGUACCCGCUCCUGCGGAAAUGCUGCGGUGGCUCGCGCUUUGCUGGCAGGAGGUGGCGGGAGUGUGUGCGCUCCUCACCGAGCUCUGCCGGAACUACGUUACUGAGCUCAUCGACACCACGUCAGAGUUCAUCAGCUGAUUCUCUUUCACUGGUGGACUUUGCUCCUUUGCCGCACGAGGCUAAGGCGUACGGAUGCGUAUAAACUCAUCUUCACGCUUAAUACUACAGAAUUGAUCAGGGCUCAAGAACCUGGAUGGGCGACAAACUUCAGAAGGUGUGAGUAAGUAACACUGCUAAUUCACCGCAGUCAGGACAAAGAUCUUGUGCCGCUUGGUGACUUCUUGCUUCAGCAGCACGAGGAUACUGGAGACAUCUGCCAUGGUGUAACUCCAAUAUUUACAUGCUGCUAAAGCAAGACAACACACUCCCACAUGUGCAGUGCAUGUCCAAGGCACUGAUGCUGCAGCACAGUAUGGCCUGCAUCUCUGUAUCACCACAAACCAUUCUGUGCUGCUACACCAGCACUUGAAGAGCAUAUCUCUCUUUCUCUCCCUCUCUCUCACACACACUGUUCAUGGUUACUUUUUGCUUCCCCACAGGACUCCAUCUGAAACAAAAAAAGUGGAAAAUUCUUAAAUGAGUAUAUAAACAUUCCUCCCCAACAACCCCAUAUAUUUAUAUUAACAUUAAUGUUUAUAGCAUGGUUGUAUGAAAUUGAGAUUUGAUGUUCAGAUAUUGUGCAGAUUCUUUUAUACAUGUAAUGAUUAUUGUAAAUGCACCACAAUAUAUAGUCAGCAUGCACAGUAUUUAUUAUUAUAAUAACGAAGAACAAAUAUGUAUUUUUAACAGCAGGCUCAACAGAAAUUGGACCUUUAUCUCUGAAGCACCCUGUGAAACUACUUCUGUACUACAUGGAGAAGGGCUCAAAACUGCUGAGGACCUAACAGGAUCUUGGAUAACCAGCCCAGGCUGUCAUUCUACCAGCCGAACGAUUACUGUUCCUAUAGACUGAUCACUAUGCCAGCACUGAUCCAUUUUUCCUCCCAACCAGAUAUCUAUUACCAACAUCAUUGUAACAGCCAACCUUAAAUAAUCCAGCAUUGUUGGCCCAGCCAAGUUUUGACACAGCCUUAUUAAAUUUGGUGAGAUAAAUACACUUGGCAAUGUUGAUGCACUCUGUUUAAAAGCAACAGGAAAGACAUAGUUAAACUAAUUCCAGAUCAAAAUCGCAUCGUAUUGCAAAUUGACAUUUUGACCAAUUGAAUGUGUAUGGGUGUGGCAGCUGCACAGCAGGUAAAACGACUCGGACUACAAAUCUAUGCUGAAUCAUGCAUUUAACUGCACUAUCAUGGAAAAACUGAGAAUCAGAUGCAUUAAAUUGUUACCUUUCAAUGUUUGGUAACGGUGUCCAAAGUUUUGCAGGUAAACUGUGCAAAAGCUUACAGUAAUUGUUCCUCGCCUGUUUUAAAUACUGACAAGAUCAAACAAACAGUUACACCAGAAGAAAAGAAGGGGGGUAUGGGGGGCAAGUGCAAUUAGGUGGGCAAAAGCCACAAUAAGACAAUGUCCAUGUUUUAUUAUCCGCUAGUCUAUUUCUUUUUUUCAAAGCUACAGUGUAAUUCAAAACAAAUCUAUAUUAUUAAAAACUUUAAGCUCAUUUCUAACACACUAUACACAGCAGUUCUAUUAAUUUUUAGUGACCAAAAAAUAAAACAUGAUGUGGCCACUACAACCAAUCACUGCGAGUUGUCACUGGCCUGGUGAGCAGUGUGUUGCAAAUAUGCAUCCAAAGACUUAUUCCUCACUAAUUUCAGCUUGGGUUGUAGUCCAACAGAACAGUGAACCUUUAGAGCAGAAGAUUUAGAUGUCAGAGUUUUUCUUUUCU